AGGAACUCUGUUGCUUGGAGACCUGCAUCUUUCUAGCUGUGCUCAGAACAGACAUGAAGCAACAGAUCAACUUGCUUUCAACAGUUCAAAAUCAAAGUAAGGCUGUCCCAAGCGGGCAUGAAAAUUGUGUCAUUCAAACAACAUGUGAACUCCAAUUACGACUCUACAAGUGAUAUCCUUUACUCCUGUAAUCUGCAGGCCUUUUCACAGUUUGGACAACUUCCGAG
Molecule: long non-coding RNA, 227 nt
Organism: Parus major (Great Tit)
Lineage: Eukaryota; Metazoa; Chordata; Aves; Passeriformes; Paridae
Exons: 3
Source: RefSeq, a predicted model, not a curated record